GGCGGCGUAGCUCAGCUGGCUAGAGCAUUCGGUUCAUACCCGAAAGGUCGUGGGUUCGACUCCCUCUGCCGCCA
Molecule: non-coding RNA, 74 nt
Organism: Lysinibacillus sphaericus OT4b.31
Lineage: Bacteria; Bacillati; Bacillota; Bacilli; Caryophanales; Bacillaceae
Source: Rfam